Molecule: unclassified non-coding RNA, 385 nt
Filed under: soil metagenome
Description: partial contains 5.8S ribosomal RNA, internal transcribed spacer 2, and large subunit ribosomal RNA
Rfam family: 5.8S ribosomal RNA (bases 1-120)
Source: RNAcentral
GAUGAAGAACGCAGCGAAAUGCGAUAAGUAAUGUGAAUUGCAGAAUUCAGUGAAUCAUCGAAUCUUUGAACGCACCUUGCGCUCCUUGGUAUUCCGAGGAGCAUGCCUGUUUGAGUGUCAUUAAAUUCUCAACCUCACCAGUUUUCCAAACUGUUCUUCGAGGCUUGGAUGUGGGGGUUUGUGCAGGCUGCCUCUCUGGCGGUCUGCUCCCCUGAAAUGCAUUAGCGAGUUCAUACUGAGCUCCGUCUAUUGGUGUGAUAAUUAUCUACGCCGUGGACGAGGUUCAGACUUGCUUCUAACCGUCCGCAAGGACAAUACCUUGACAAUUUGACCUCAAAUCAGGUAGGACUACCCGCUGAACUUAAGCAUAUCAAUAAGCGGAGGA